AGAGGCUGAGCAAGUUCCGCGGCCGCCGGUGCGGGCUCGCAGCCCCAUGCGGUCCAGGACAGCCAAGGGGGAGAAAAGAGGGAGGUCCGCUGCCUAGCUCUUGCGAAUCGUUGUUCCUUCCCCCUGUGCCGGCUCCUAAGACAAGCUAAUACUGACCCCGGUAGUCUUAGCGUUGGUUUUCCAGGAACUAUUGCUGCUCACUGGGAAGCCGAGAGCCAUACGUGAGCGUUCCCCCCUUCGGCGGCUGCACUAUAGUGCGGUCCCCGCUUCGCCAGCCAUAAGGCAAGCGAGAAGGGACGCACUUCUCCCGGCUUGCAAAGCGGUAGGGAGACGAUCGGGCCGCUGGCCGCUGUCUCGGCGUUCAGCAAUAGAGGCCUUCCCGGAUCUCCCGAGAGGCGGGGAGCGAGCCUGGGUCCAGCAGCCUUCUCCCUCCCGAGAACAGCAGAAAGGGGGGACUCGACAGAAUGACCUCUGUUUCCCCAAGGAAGUGCACUCUGACGAUAACCUCGGGAGGGACGAGAAGGGCCGCUCUUUCGGAGAGCGGCCGCCGCCCCUGGAGUAGGGGACUCAGUGGCCACGAAGGCCUUCCCUGCUCGCGACCUUUCCACGGGAAGGCACGAAGCUUCCGAUGGGGGCCCCGGGGCGCUCCUGACUUUUCUACGGCGCGAGGGCUCUGACUCUGCGGUUCAGGUUUGAAAGUCCUUUGGAAGCUCGCAAGUGGUGGUCUCCCACCACCUCCUCGGUCAUCGCAGGAAGAAGGCGCAGUGAGGGCGGGAGUCUGGAUGAGCGGAGAGUAGCCACCGCGGAGAAGAGUGCGGGCUUGCAGGAGCCGACGAAGAUAACUCGAAAUGUGGGCAGGCAGGUGUUGGUGGGUCUUGAAAGUGGGAAAGCACGAGAAAAGAACAAUGUUCGCGUCCGCUUAGAAUACGGAAACAAGUGAGCUUUAAAGGAAAAUACUCAUUCUCAUUACCCCUGUCCAGGAAGAAGAGUGCUGAUCUGCUGCUUCCAGUCCGCUGGGCUGGAGAGCAGAAAGAGGCUACUUGAUCCCAGCCAAGCCAGUGUCUGUCCCCCAGCAAGCACUUCUGCCUUGGUGUGAUCCCCAUUCCUUUUCUAAAAAUACAAAAUAAUAAGAAGUCCUGGAAGGAAAUACACUAAAAUGUUCCCAGUGGUUAAUCAUGCGUACAGUAGUAGAUUAUAUGCAGCUUUCAUUUUCUGCUUUAGACUUUUGUCUAUUUUCCACAACUUUUCUAAAGUUUCUACAAAGGCCAUAUAUUUCCACCAUAAGCAGAAAAAAUGAAAACGUAAGCAUUUAAAUGGCACAUACAAUAUAAUCUCAAUAGUAUAAACAUGCAUACAAAAGACAGGAAGGAGAUAUGAAGAACUGCUAACAGUAUGUUAUUUUUCACAACUAGGAUAUAGUCUCCUGUCCUGCUUUACCUUUCAGGUAUUUUCAUCUGAUAAAUAGAGAAACAGUUUAAAAUAAAUUCAGUCAUCCUGUUCAAUAGCCAAGAGGUUCCAAAAUGAGAUAAUGAAUUUAAAAGCCUUCGGGAACUAUAAAGAAAAGUAAUGCAUUAGUAUUAUUUUGAAGAUAAGUUUACAAUAUUUCUUACUGUAAAUUAUCAAAUCACUUUUGGGUGCAUUGUCAGUCUUUCUGUACAUGGAUUCGUUUCACUGUGGCAAAGGCAACUUGCAGAUAAGCUGAUAAAGAUUCCAGAACUACAAAUCAAACUAGGCCCUGGAGUAGCAGUAAAAUUCCAAACCCAAAGGCCCAUCCAGUCUGUCCACUACAUUCCUAUAUUGAUGAGAGCAGAACAGACACUCAUGAGAGACAUGACUUCUGCUUCCCCCAUAACUAAGAAGAGAGAUUACCAUACUGAUGAUCUCCCUGGAGGUUUCAUAGCAAGGUUUGACUUGAUGAAUUAAUUAAUAAAGCUAAAUAUCCUGAAGAUUUGGUGGAAAUAUGCUUUGACAUUUACAUCUAAGUGUUCAUCCGUGAAAAUCAAUAAAAUAUUUUUUCAUGCAGACCCUAUAGGCAUUUUCUUACUAAAAACUUCAUGUGGUUUAUGUGGCAAUUUCCAAAAAUGCCUAAAUAAACUCUGUUAUAGUUUACUGUGAAUAUUAAUAUAUUACAAAAAGAAAAAAGACCUUCCUCUAGUGACAAACUAAUAUUUGCAUAUUUGUGAGGAUUAUGAAGGUUUUUUCAUAUAUGGCAAUGUUAUUUUCAUUCUCCUAACAAUCCUCUGAGGAAGAUAGAAGUUAUUAUCUGUUUAUGAGGAAAGCGAAGCCCAAAGAUGUUAAGCGAAUAUCACUGUUCAGCAAAUAAGAGGUUAUACAUUCAAACUCAGUUCUUUUGAUUACCAGUUCAGUACUCUUAACAUCCAUUACUGUGCAGUGAUACUGAGAUGAUUAAUUUUUACACUUCUCCACUAAUAUUUCACCAGAUUUCUGUUACAGAAAUCUCAAAAAGAAUGCAUGUAUUCUUAUUCCACAAUUCUGUUUUUAGCCUUUGGGAUAAGCACUUCACCAUGAGUAUUUACCUCACCCAUUGAGAAUACCUGUGGGGCAGAAAACAGGUGCAAGUGUACUUCUUUAAUAAACAGGUAAGAGAUCUGUUGCUAAAGUAAAAUAGUGUCAAAAUUUCACAGAGGAAAGAGGUACCAAAAAAUAUGCAUUAUACAAAUACUUUGCCAUUGCAAGUGACAUGGUAAUGAACAGAGAAUUAAUGGCAAUCCUAGGUUUUCAUGGGAUAUAACAAUAGUGAUCAAACUGUUUACAGGCAAUUACUGUUUUCUGCUUUGCAAUUAACCCAUGUCAGCCUUGCAAGUAUAUAAAAAAUAUAUAGCUUUUAAAAAUAAUUUAUUCUCAAAAAUAUUUCAGAGUUGUAGCUCUUAGGUUUAAAAAGUCUUUAAAAUGGAGUUUGAUAACCAAUAAAUCUGUUUUCUAGUAUGAUGUUGUUUUAGGAUGUCCUUAUCUACUUUAUUUUUUAUCACCUCAUAGAACAUGAUAAAAAGUGGCUCAUGCCUGUAAUCCCAACAUUUUGGGAGGCCAAGACAGACAGAUCAUUUGAGCCCAGGAGUUUGAGACCAGCCUGAACAACAGGUGAAACCCUGUCUCUACUAAAAAUACAAGAAAUUAGCCAGGAAUGGUGGCAUGUGCUUGUAGUCCCAGCUACCCAGGAAGCUGAGCUGGGAAGAUCAUCUAAACCCGGGAGGCGGACAGUGCAGUGAGCUGUGAUUGCACCACUGCACUCCAGCCUGGGUGACAGAAUGAGACCCCGUCUCAUAAAAACAAAAUGUAAAGUGACUUAUCUGCUGAGACUCUGAAUGAUAAAUAUGAUUUUUAAAAUCCUUUCAAGUAAAUUUUAUAUGAAACUUUUAUACACAUAGAAAUUCUCUGCACAGUUUUAAAUUUCUCAGUUGUCACUUUGAUUUAUAUUCUUAAAUUGUUCCUGCCAUCUGUAUGCAAAUAUGUAGUAGGUAUUAAGUAGGACUCUCUUACUGACAUUCUAUUAAUAUAUACCUAUGUAUGUAUAACCUUUUAAAGGACACAUAUAAAAGAGCAUGCAAGUAUUGUUAUGAAAUACAACAACCAUGCAUGAACACAGAACACCCAACCAAAAAACUAGAGUGUUACCAAUAUCUUCAUACCAACCUAGUUCUUCCCCUAUCCCACCUCCAUGCCUGUCCUCUCCACAGGUAGCCUACUAUCCUGAAUUUUAUGUUUUACUAUCCCCUUGCCUUUUUUUUUUUUUUAAUGCGAUCUUGGCUCAGGCAAUCCUCCCACCUCAGUCUUCCAAGUAGCUGGGACUAUAGGCACAUGCCACCACACCUGGCUAAUUUUUGUAUUUUUUGUAGAGAUGGGGUUUUGCCAUGUUGCCCAGCCUGUUCUCGAACUCCUGAGCUCAAACAACCCACCCACCUCAGCCUCCUGCCUUGCCCUUUUAAAAAAUAACUGUAUCAUAUAUGUCUGCAUCCCUAAGUAAUACAUUUUUUAGUUUUGUUUUGGUUUUGAGCCUUACAAAAAAUGGUAUCUUACUGUAUAUAGUCCUCUGGUACUUGUUUUUUUUCUCUCACUAUUAAGUUUCUAGAUCCUCCUAUGUUGUUGCAUAUAGCUAUAUAUUGUUACAUAUAGCUGUAAAUCAGUCAUUUUACAGCUAUGUAAUACUCCAUUGUGUGACUGUUCCAUAAGUUAUGUAUUCAUCUUCUGUGGAUGUUCAAAUUUCCAAGUUUUUACUAUUAGGAUCAAUAAUUUCUUGAAUUACUCUUGUAUUAUCUCUUCGUGCACAUAUGCAAAAGUUUCUCUAGGUAGAUACCUAGAAGUGAAAUUACUUAAUCAUAGAGAAUGAAAAUGUUCGACUUUACAACUUAAGGCCAAAUUGUUUUUGAAAAUGUGUUGUUCCCUUUUGCAGUCUAACCAACAAUGUAAUCAAAGCUCCUUAAUGAAAAGGAUCAUCUAAAUUAUGUUUUAAAGUAGUUUUCAAUUUGGUCCUUUAGUAAAUAGUUAUCCAUGAUCAUGUCUAUUAAACCAUAUUAAGUCUUCAAUUCUUUUCAUAAAACCUUUCUAGAUGCAAAAUUUAAUACUAAAUCUUGUUUUAAAUGCCUGUCCACAUAUCAGUAAAAAUGUUUUAAAAUAACUACAUAAAAAUAAAAAAUGUCAAUGACCUUCAA
Long non-coding RNA from Homo sapiens (human), 4667 nucleotides. RefSeq annotates it as PPM1L divergent transcript. The transcript has a single exon. Lineage: Eukaryota; Metazoa; Chordata; Mammalia; Primates; Hominidae. The record is from RefSeq and is marked validated.